This 253-nucleotide ribosomal RNA is filed under the name uncultured bacterium. Its description in RNAcentral is "partial 16S ribosomal RNA". It matches the Rfam family "Bacterial small subunit ribosomal RNA", at positions 524 to 776 of the family's 1533-position model. The record is from RNAcentral.
GACGAACCUUGCUAACGUUAUUCGGAAUCACUGGGCUUAAAGGGUGCGUAGGCUGUGCGGAAAGUUGGGUGUGAAAUACCUCGGCUUAACCGAGGAAUUGCGCCCAAAACUACCGUGCUUGAGUGAGACAGAGGUGAGCGGAACUUAGGGUGGAGCGGUGAAAUGCGUUGAUAUCCUAAGGAACACCGGUGGCGAAAGCGGCUCACUGGGUCUCGUCUGACGCUGAGGCACGAAAGCCAGGGUAGCGAACGGG